CAACCGCGCAGUAGAGCGGACGGAUGAGAGUCGCGCUCCGCAAAUUUCGAGUACCGGGUUCUCAACCUCCCGGAUCCCGCGCUUCGGGUCCGCUACGUGGUGAAGCUCGACUUCCAGGGUGUACCCUGAGGCGGUUAUCGGUGGUUGUUGGAGGUGAUUGGCGGUAAUUGAAGGUGUUCGGAGUUGGACGAGGAGGAGGACGAGGAAGACAAGGAGAUAAAGGUGGACGAGGAUUGGUACUCAGUAAAAGGUAAGGUAGUUAUCGGUGGUUGUUCGAGG
This 279-nucleotide long non-coding RNA is filed under the name Neodiprion lecontei (redheaded pine sawfly). RNAcentral's name for it is "uncharacterized LOC124295144". The record is from RNAcentral. Lineage: Eukaryota; Metazoa; Arthropoda; Insecta; Hymenoptera; Diprionidae.